ACGGAAGGCAGCAGUGAGGAAUAUUGGUCACUGGACGGAAGUCUGAACCAGCCAUGCCGCGUGAAGGAUAGAGGUCCUAUGGAUUGUAAACUUCUUUUGUACGGGAGCAAUAAGGUGUAUGCAUACACCGAUGAGAGUACCGUACGAAUAAGCAUCGGCUAACUCCGUGCCAGCAGCCGCGGUAAUACGGAGGAUGCGAGCGUUAUCCGGAUUUAUUGGGUUUAAAGGGUGCGUAGGCGGAAAGCCAAGUCAGCGGUGAAACGCAGGGGCUUAACACGGGACCUGCCGUUGAAACUGGUUAUCUAGAAUACGGAUGCUGUGGGAGGAAUGUGUGGUGUAGCGGUGAAAUGCAUAGAUAUCACACAGAACACCGAUUGCGAAGGCAUCUCACAAAUCCGUUAUUGACGCUGAGGCACGAAAGUAUGGGGAUCAAACAGGAUUAGAUACCCUGGUA
Molecule: ribosomal RNA, 454 nt
Filed under: uncultured bacterium
Lineage: Bacteria
Description: partial 16S ribosomal RNA
Rfam family: Bacterial small subunit ribosomal RNA
Source: RNAcentral